Molecule: transfer RNA, 94 nt
Filed under: Armatimonadota bacterium
Lineage: Bacteria; Bacillati; Armatimonadota
Description: Armatimonadetes bacterium (activated sludge metagenome) tRNA-Sec
Rfam family: Selenocysteine transfer RNA
Source: RNAcentral
GGGAGUGAAUGAGUGCUGGUGUGCUCCGCGGUCUUCAAAACCGUUGUGGCGUCCUCGGGCGUUGGGUGGGUUCGAUUCCUACACAUUCCCGCCA